This 1393-nucleotide ribosomal RNA is filed under the name Amycolatopsis sp. A133. RNAcentral's name for it is "partial 23S ribosomal RNA". It matches the Rfam family "Bacterial large subunit ribosomal RNA", at positions 1556 to 2925 of the family's 2925-position model. Lineage: Bacteria; Bacillati; Actinomycetota; Actinomycetes; Pseudonocardiales; Pseudonocardiaceae. The record is from RNAcentral.
CUGAGACGUGAUGCGUAGCCGUUUGAGGCGAAGUAGAGUGAUCCUAUGCUGCCGAGAAAAGCCUCUAGUGAGUGCAUGCACGGCCCGUACCCCAAACCAACACAGGUGGUCAGGUAGAGAAUACCAAGGCGAUCGGGUGAACUGUGGUUAAGGAACUCGGCAAAAUGCCCCCGUAACUUCGGGAGAAGGGGGGCCAAACAUCCUGAAGCUCUUCUCGAGCUAGGGGUGGGUGGCCGCAGAGACCAGCGGAAAGCGACUGUUUACUAAAAACACAGGUCCAUGCGAAGUCGCAAGACGAUGUAUAUGGACUGACGCCUGCCCGGUGCUGGAACGUUAAGAGGACCGGUUAAUCCCUUUCGAGGGGUGAAGCUGAGAAUUUAAGCGCCAGUAAACGGCGGUGGUAACUAUAACCAUCCUAAGGUAGCGAAAUUCCUUGUCGGGUAAGUUCCGACCUGCACGAAUGGCGUAACGACUUUCCGGCUGUCUCAACCACAGGCCCGGCGAAAUUGCACUACGAGUAAAGAUGCUCGUUACGCGCGGCAGGACGGAAAGACCCCGGGACCUUUACUAUAGUUUGGUAUUGGUUUUCGGUUCGGCUUGUGUAGGAUAGGUGGGAGACUGUGAAGCUGCAACGCUAGUUGUGGUGGAGUCGUUGUUGAAAUACCACUCUGGUCGAAUUGGGAAUCUGAACCUCGGGCCAUGAUCUGGUUCAGGGACAGUGCCUGAUGGGUAGUUUAACUGGGGCGGUUGCCUCCUAAAGAGUAACGGAGGCGCCCAAAGGUUCCCUCAGCCUGGUUGGCAAUCAGGUGUUGAGUGCAAGUGCACAAGGGAGCUUGACUGUGAGACAGACAUGUCGAGCAGGGACGAAAGUCGGGACUAGUGAUCCGGCACCACCUGGUGGAAGGGGUGUCGCUCAACGGAUAAAAGGUACCCCGGGGAUAACAGGCUGAUCUUGCCCAAGAGUCCAUAUCGACGGCAUGGUUUGGCACCUCGAUGUCGGCUCGUCGCAUCCUGGGGCCGGAGUAGGUCCCAAGGGUUGGGCUGUUCGCCCAUUAAAGCGGCACGCGAGCUGGGUUUAGAACGUCGUGAGACAGUUCGGUCCCUAUCCGCCGCGCGCGUAGGAUACUUGAGGAAGGCUGUCCCUAGUACGAGAGGACCGGGACGGACGAACCUCUGGUGUGCCAGUUGUUCUGCCAAGGGCAUGGCUGGUUGGCCACGUUCGGAAGGGAUAACCGCUGAAGGCAUCUAAGCGGGAAGCCUGUUCCAAGAUGAGGUAUCCCACCCCUUUGUGGGUUAAGGCCCCCAACAGACCAUUGGGUUGAUAGGCCAGAAAUGGAAGCACAGUAAUGUGUUGUCGAGUUGACUGGUACUAAUAGGCCGAGGACUUGCCUAC